RNAcentral lists this ribosomal RNA (497 nucleotides) under uncultured bacterium. RNAcentral describes it as "partial 16S ribosomal RNA". It matches the Rfam family "Bacterial small subunit ribosomal RNA", at positions 28 to 507 of the family's 1533-position model. The record is from RNAcentral.
GAUGAACGCUGGCGGCGUGCCUAAUGCAUGCAAGUCGAGCGAACAGACGAGGAGCUUGCUCCUCUGACGUUAGCGGCGGACGGGUGAGUCACACGUGGAUAACCUACCUAUAAGACUGGGAUAACUUCGGGAAACCGGCGCUAAUACCGGAUAAUAUAUUGAACCGCAUGGUUCAAUAGUGAAAGACGGUUUUGCUGUCACUUAUAGAUGGAUCCGCGCCGCAUUAGCUAGUUGGUAAGGUAACGGCUUACCAAGGCAACGAUGCGUAGCCGACCUGAGAGGGUGAUCGGCCACACGGGAACUGAGACACGGUCCAGACUCCUGCGGGAGGCAGCAGUAGGGAAUCUUCCGCAAUGGGGGAGAGCCUGACGGAGCAACGCCGCGUGAGUGAUGAAGGUCCUCGGAUCGUAAAACUCUGUUAUUAGGGAAGAACAAAUGUGUAAGUAACUAUGCACGUCUUGACGGUACCUAAUCAGAAAGCCACGGCUAACUACGUG